Molecule: small RNA, 735 nt
Filed under: Pongo abelii (Sumatran orangutan)
Lineage: Eukaryota; Metazoa; Chordata; Mammalia; Primates; Hominidae
Description: processed transcript
Source: RNAcentral
UGUACAACUUAUUUUAAAAAUGGUAUAAAAUUAAAUGUACCAUUAUAUACUCACCAUAGAUUUAAAUGCUGUUUAAAGAGUCCAAAUGGUAUCGAGCUGCUUGAGUGGCACGUUAAACUACGCAAAACCAAAUCUUGUUUAAAAACUGGUUUUAAAAUAACUACUGGAUUUUCUGAAAAAGAUGUGAUCAGUUUUCAUCUUGUUGAGCGUUUUUUCACUAGUGCAACUUUGGAUUUUUUAUGAGAAUUUUGGUACCUUAAUGAACACCUCGCUCCAUGCUGGAAGCACUAAGCACAAAGCUUUUAAAGACUUUCUGGCUUGACUAAUUGAGGUCGCACUCGCCAAGGCUGAGGAUGUGUAACCCUUAAACGGUCUUCAUUUUCAAAGGAAAUGUCAGCCAUCUUGGAAUGUCACACGAACUGGUUGAACACCUGAAGCAAACAAAGGAACUUUCCUUCUAUUUAUGGACUGCUUAAGAAUAGUCAACUCACCAACGUGCCUAGUCAGUAAAUGAAUCCACUUGGGAACUUGAAAAACAUCUUAAUUAAUUUUUUGUUUGCAUAAUUUUGUGUUCUGUGACAUGUUUUUAUUAUAUGGUAUGCUUUUAAUUUGGAGAACCUACCUUUUUAAAAAACGGAAAGAAAAUCUAUCUUAUUUUGUUGUCUCCCAAUAACAAAAAGAGGACGAUUUGUAUAGUAGUUAAUAAAGGCUGCCUAUUGAAAUCUCUUCUACUUU